UCAAGCACUUACAUGAUGUUCUGAGGGCAGCAAGAUAAGGAUGGUGACAAAGAUAGGCAUGCCAUGAACAUGUUCAGCUAUCGAGAGGAAAGCACGGCGCAAGUGGUGUUCCGAUCCAAGCGUCCCUUCCUAACUUUGCAGCCCGCUCCGCCUAUGCGUGGUCGACGGUGGGGACGGCGACUCGGCUGUUGGGCGCGUCCUGCUGGUGUCACGCGAUCCUCCAAGACGGCGCUGACGACAGCGCCCAUUGUUCCUCUGCUCUCUAAGCCAUCGCCCUACGGCUUCCUUCAAAGGAACUGUGGCCACGCUGCCAUUCGGCGAAGCUGCAGCAGCUGCUCGACGCCCGAGAAUCGCACGCAGCAGCCCAACUGGCGUCAUUGAGGAGGUAAUGUACGUGUCCCGACCUGCCGGCGUGCUGCCCUUUGGUGACGCUGCGGUGGCUGCUCGACGCCGAAGAAUCGCACGCAGCAGCAGCGCCACGAGCAGCGCUCACUUCGCCAAGUGCAUCGCAUGCUGCAGCUGUUGCGCCUCGAGCGACCCAGUGUUGCCGAACGAGUUCACGUCGACUAUUCUUUCUCUAGAAAGAGUCGACGCGCGUGGUCACCACGUUUAUGUUAACUCUUUUGCUUUCGUGAUCCGUCACUUUUUGUUCUACUCCUUCUUUAAUAUAUCAAUAAAUAUGGUUUUGAUUGUCUA
Dermacentor andersoni is the source of this 696-nucleotide long non-coding RNA. RefSeq lists it as uncharacterized. NCBI's taxonomy places the organism in Eukaryota, Metazoa, Arthropoda, Arachnida, Ixodida, Ixodidae. The record is from RefSeq and is a predicted model, not a curated record.